CCUACGGGUGGCUGCAGUGAGGAAUAUUGGUCAAUGGGCGAGAGCCUGAACCAGCCAAGUCGCGUGAGGGAAGACGGUCCUAUGGAUUGUAAACCUCUUUUGUCGGGGAGCAAAAAGGCCUCGUGAGGCCACAAGUGAGAGUACCCGAAGAAAAAGCAUCGGCUAACUCCGUGCCAGCAGCCGCGGUAAUACGGAGGAUGCGAGCGUUAUCCGGAUUUAUUGGGGUUACAGGUUGCGCAGGAGGAGGUGCAAGUCAGCGGGCAAAUUGCGUGGCCCAACCCCGUACUGCCGUUGAAACGGCAUCCCUUUAGUGCGCGAGAAGUAUGCGGAAUGCGUGGUGUAGCGGUGAAAUGCAUAGAUAUCACGCAGAACUCCGAUUGCGAAGGCAGCAUACCGGCGCGCAACUGACGCUCAUGCACGAAAGCGUGGGUAUCGAACAGGAUUAGAUACCCUUGUAGUC
RNAcentral lists this ribosomal RNA (460 nucleotides) under uncultured bacterium. RNAcentral's name for it is "partial 16S ribosomal RNA". It matches the Rfam family "Bacterial small subunit ribosomal RNA", at positions 338 to 795 of the family's 1533-position model. The record is from RNAcentral.